This 5116-nucleotide long non-coding RNA is filed under the name Canis lupus familiaris (dog). RNAcentral describes it as "lncRNA (ENSCAFG00030001444.1)". Lineage: Eukaryota; Metazoa; Chordata; Mammalia; Carnivora; Canidae. The record is from RNAcentral.
AUGAUGACCCAGCAGGUAGAUGUGGCUCCCUCAGUAGCCAAGACAGAGCAAGCCAUUGUUUCAUUCGUGGAACAGGACAUAGAAUUUCUGGCAGGUCUGUCAAACUGGGAAGUGCAUCUCAGGGACACUCAGAAGUACUGGGCGGCCCACCCCCUUCGCCCUUUCCCUCUGCAGCGGAAGGUUGGAAGGAGGGAACUCCCCCAACCAGGGCCCUGCUCCGGGGCCUGUGAACAGAGACAGGACCACCUUCACGGCCAGGGAAGCAGAAGUGGUCCCCCUGCUUUCCCUUCUGUCGGGAGCUGUCAGGAACCUCUCUGCGCUGAACGGUGCUCAGUGACCCUCCAGCAAUUAGAACUCAUUUGCAAGGCAGAGAAGGCCACCGGGCCCUCAGAUCUUUCUCAGCUCCCUCUUCCUGUGUGACUUCUCUGCAGACAGGUGCAUGCUUCUGGCUGCUGCAGGGUCCAGCUGGCGGGAGGACUCUCUACCUUGUCAUCACAGAAAUAAAAUUUGUCACCCCGGUGUUCCCAACCUCUGUUCUUUCAUGUUUAACCAGCGCUUUGAAUCUUUAUAAACAUGUCAGGGUUUCUAUUUUUAUUUCCCAAUUAAUUCAGAAAAGGAGCAGAAGAUGUUGCUAAUGAUAGAAAAGAGAAAGGACACGUAGAACUGAGGGGGCUUUGGUUUUUGAGUUUGAUAAGACAAUUGAGUGAAUAUGGGCAUCCAGCAAUUCGAGCAAUUUCUUGGGCUUGCUUGCCAGUACUUUGGUCAUUCUUGGGGUGUCCUGGAACUGGUCAGACUUAUGAACAGGUCCAGGGGCACCUGGGUGGCUCAGCGGUAGAGCACCUGCCUUUGGCUCAGGGCAUGAUCCUGCAGUCCCGGGAUCGAGUCCCACAUCAGGCUCUCUGCAGGGAGCCUGCUUCUCCCUCUGCCUGUGUCUCUGCCUCUCUCUCUCUGGGUCUCUCAUGAAUAAAUCAAAUCAAUAAAAUCUUAAAAAAAAAUAAUGAACAGGUCUAAACCCAUCAAAUACAGUGAGAAGAUUUUCUUCCGAUACUAACAGACGAUGAUACUUCAUUUUCCCAUGCACGAGGGAGAACAAAAGUUUUUGCAUAUAUUAAUCUUCAGAUUAUUUGAAAUGUAUUGUUUUUAACACUACUUCUGAAAUUAUAUUCUCUGAGUACACUAACCCUAAUUUACCCUUUGUCUUGAUGAUUCAAAAUCAUCUUUCUAAAUACCUACAACUGUGGACUUUAGUGAUAACAGUCUCAGGGGUGUAGUGUUUUAAUUAAAUGAGCAUUUCCUCUGUCCCAUUGUUACCAAAAAGGCUAAAAUAGUAGACAUGAAAUAAUGGAAAGAGUCCUAAACUUAGAGCCAAAACUCUGGUUCUAUGUUUAAUCGUUAAUUAGCUGUUUGACCUUUAGCAACUACCUUAACCUCUCUCUGAAAAUUUAUUUCUUCAUCUCUAAAAAUGGAGGAAUUUGGACCAUUGCAUUCCCAAGGUUGUUUAGAUUUCUAAAAUUUUAUAAUUUUAUGAUGAAGGGCCAGGGUAUGCUGUAAUGUCAAUUGUCCUAAAGGCUUUUGAGUUUAGGAUUAUUUGUUUCUUUAUGAUAUGGUCCCACAUUGCUAAGAUUUUCUAGAUAUUGUGUUGGCUUUGAUGCUUUUCACCAAUCCCUGGGUUGUAAACUACAGCCUCCAGGCCAAAUUCGACCCACCACCUGUUUUUGUAAAUAAAAUUUUAUUGGAACAGAGCCACACUCAUUCACUUACAUCUCUAGCUUCUUUGGAGAACCGAGUAAUCACAGCCGUGAAGGUAUGAGCCAGCCACACUGCCUAAAACAUUUGCUAUCUGAUCUUUAUGGGAAAAGCUUGCCAAUCUCUGCUUUCUUCUUUAAAAAAAAAAAAAUAAUAAUCACACACAAAAAAAUUUUCCCCCUUUCAGUCUAUUACUUUUCAUUGCAAUCACUAUCUCCCUCCAGGAUUUUAGUUUUAAUUUACUAAUCCACCUGGCUAGAGGCUAAGAUGCCAGUCGACACAACUAACCAGAAUUAAGUUCAAAGAAAGAGUCAAUAGGUUCUAACAAAACUUCAAGGGGACGGUCAGGGCAGGUGCCGAGUGCUUGGGCUCUUUAGCUGCUUAGAGAGCCUGGCUUUUCUUAUUUAUGUUUCUGGAUCAUUCUUGAUAGUUAUCCUGUGGAGAUGAAGUCUUACCACCCCUGGAAAUUUCUAGAAAUCGUUGCUUUAAUUUUGCCGAUGGUUCUGGGUUUGCCAUAAAGUCUGCUGCCUGUACGGGUACAUAUACCACCUCAUGCGUGUGGCUUUACCAUCAUGGGGAAGCUCCCUGGGAAGGCAAUGAACUCAACCUGAGACCCAAGGGAUGUCAUGUGUUUCAGCAUCACCCUUCAGCCGCCCUUCCCGCCGUUUGGGUGGACCGGUUGUGAUACUGAUCCUCCAAGUUAUAGAAAAUGAGAUGAGCCCCAAGCCAUCGUGGGCAAGACACUGCGCCUUCCAGUCUCCCCCCUGCAUCCUCCCCUGCGUGUGGCCAGGUGAGUCAGCCUCACCAGAGCAGUGCGUCGUAGGCUCAGGUCAUGAGAAACUGAGACUUUGAUCCCCGUGAAGCCCCUGUUCCUGCUCCACCUGGGUGGCUCAGUGGUUGAGCGCCUGCCUUUGGCUCAGGGCAUGAUCCUGGGGUCCCGGGAUCGAGUCCUGCAUCGGGCUUCCCGCAGGGAGCCUGCUUCUCCCUCUGUCUGUGUCUCUGCUUCUCUCUUUCUGUGUCUCUCAUGGAUAAAUAAAUAAAAUUUUAUUUAUUUUUAUUUUUUAUUUUUUUAAAUAAAAUUUUAAAAGAAAAAGAUUAAAAAAAAUAUUGACUCAGAUAUGUGCCAGGCUUCUGCUAGUUGUUGGAGUUAGAGCAGUAACAAGGACAGAAGAGGCCUUGCCAGGGUGGAAUUCAUAUGUGAUUAACAAGUAAACACGUGAAACAGUUGCAAAUUGUGAUAAGACACAGUGAAGGAUACAAAUGUUAGGAGCCAGCCCUCAAGAGGGAAUGUUUACAAAGAGCCUUAAAAAUCCAGAAGGAGCUUCAUUAUGCAGAUGAGGGAAGAAAGAGCUUCCAGAUGGUGGGCACAGCAUGUGCAAAGAUCCUGAGGCUGAUGGAGCCCAGCUCAACAGGGUGAAUGUGUGGCCUGGGUGGAAGGCCCAGGAGGUGGGCAGGGGCAGGCUGCUCCCGGGGCCGGGGAGGGGGUGGUGGUGGUGGUUAUCGUUGCUGCCAUGGUGAGAGCCCCUUACCAGUUUCACGCAUUCAGGUCUGUACUGAGCGUGUCACUUGUGCUGCCGUGUGGAGUGUCCUCACUGAGACCAGGCACGUGAUAGCCCCAGACCAGACUAAGUUAAAGCUCUGGAGUAGAGAAGGUGAGGAGAACUUUCUUGUGGGUUGAUGUAGAAGUCAAGGAGGGGCGGGGAGGUGCUGGGAUGCUGACAUCUAGCAGGUGGCAUUUCUUGAGAUGAGAGAAGUUGAGGGGAGUGGAAGGACAGAUGUGGGGGGGGGAAAGUCUAAAGUUCUGCUUUGAAGUCAAGUGUGUUGGUGGCACAGGGCACCUUGUGGGGCCGGGAAAACUUGAACCAGGGCAACUGUUCUUAUCCCUGCCAUUCGUGAGUCACUCUGUGCUCGGAUGAAUGACUAGCCCUCCCCCUGCAUACGAACCUCCCCUGGGCACCCCUCCAAACCCAGAUAUAUGCCGUGUCGCACCUUUGUAGUUAGCACCAUCGCCCGCGCGUGGUAGGUGCUCAGGCACCAAGCGUCCCCAGCUCAUUCAGAGAACCCGGUUCCAAAGCAAGAAAAAGAAACUGGUUGAGGGGGAAGCGAUGCCAGGGAAGAGGGACUUUUGUGGUGUCCAGUGACAAAAUGGCUAUUUUUCUAAGAAAGGACUUGGGACACAUGAUGAAGAAACGGGAACACAUCCAGAGGCCCAGCCUUCACAGCACCUGUCUUCACUUGUGUACCUGGAACCUCGGAUCAGCUGUGCCAGGAGCAGGCUCGCACUGCACACCUGUCUUCUCUCUCCUUUUCAUUUCUUCCUCUUUUCCUCCUCUUUGCUCUCUUAUUGGCCCCUUAGAAGAGGGAAAAAAAGGUAAAGUGAUGAAGAGGAGGAAGAGGGAGGGCCAAGUCGUGGGCUUCAUUCAGGUGUAGGGCAAGGGAUGUCAUUUGGAAUACGGAGCUGCUGUCACACACACACACACACACACACACACACACACACACACGAAUGAGUCGUGAGUAAUUUCAUCUCUCAAAACCAGCGCGAUGAACAUUAUUUUCGCUCCACGGUUUUCACUAUUCUGGAAGAUUGAAGCUAGUGAUAGUGGUACCACUUAUUCACCUAAAAGUGCAUUUCUGUGAUAGGUCCCAUGUCCCGGGCUAGUAAUUUUUGACAAUGCAAAAUAAUGAGGGCAGUGUCUUGCGAUUUUUAGCAGCUGAGCAUUUGUUGCAUCGAAAAAAAAAAAUUUAAGUUAUUCCUUUCCCUGUAGGAAAGUAAAGAAAUCCGCGAUAAAAUAAUAAUUAAAUGCUGACAGUGCUAAAUUUCUACCCAGCAUGAGCUGGCAGCGGUUUCGUACCAAAACAUUAGGUCAUUUGAAGAAGAAAAAAAAAUCUGAUUAAAUACCUCUGUAGGCUUCUCUGAUUAGCCGUUCUUAAAAGAGUCUGUGACAGUAAUGAAAGGGUGCAAUUUGACAGCCGUAAUUUCCCCUUGAAAGAAAGGUAACAGAAUAGUGGGUGCGUGUGAGGUUUUUACGGGAAUUUCUUGUUGGUCUUUACUAGUGGGUUUGUUUUACUAAUCACCAGUUUCUUGCAGGUCUGAGGAACCCACCAAGCAGGAAUUAUGUGAGAUGAAAAGUCUUCCGGGGGGUUGAGGCUUGGGGGGGGGGACAAUUUCGAUGCCAGCCUUUCUCUCUUUUCUUCUCGGCGCAGUGGGUUUUGUAUUUCUGGGGUUAAAUGACCUUGACACGGGCAGGUUUGGGAAAUGGAGUGUAGGUUGCAGAGAUCCUCCGUGCAUCCCGUGUAUUAAUUUUCUGCGUCUGGCAGCUCCCAGCGUCUCAUUGUAUUAACUCGCCCUGGCAUGAGGGCUGGAGGC